Molecule: ribosomal RNA, 1561 nt
Filed under: Staphylococcus aureus
Lineage: Bacteria; Bacillati; Bacillota; Bacilli; Caryophanales; Staphylococcaceae
Description: partial 23S ribosomal RNA
Rfam family: Bacterial large subunit ribosomal RNA
Source: RNAcentral
AGAUUAAGUUAUUAAGGGCGCACGGUGGAUGCCUUGGCACUAGAAGCCGAUGAAGGACGUUACUAACGACGAUAUGCUUUGGGGAGCUGUAAGUAAGCUUUGAUCCAGAGAUUUCCGAAUGGGGAAACCCAGCAUGAGUUAUGUCAUGUUAUCGAUAUGUGAAUACAUAGCAUAUCAGAAGGCACACCCGGAGAACUGAAACAUCUUAGUACCCGGAGGAAGAGAAAGAAAAUUCGAUUCCCUUAGUAGCGGCGAGCGAAACGGGAAGAGCCCAAACCAACAAGCUUGCUUGUUGGGGUUGUAGGACACUCUAUACGGAGUUACAAAGGACGACAUUAGACGAAUCAUCUGGAAAGAUGAAUCAAAGAAGGUAAUAAUCCUGUAGUCGAAAAUGUUGUCUCUCUUGAGUGGAUCCUGAGUACGACGGAGCACGUGAAAUUCCGUCGGAAUCUGGGAGGACCAUCUCCUAAGGCUAAAUACUCUCUAGUGACCGAUAGUGAACCAGUACCGUGAGGGAAAGGUGAAAAGCACCCCGGAAGGGGAGUGAAAUAGAACCUGAAACCGUGUGCUUACAAGUAGUCAGAGCCCGUUAAUGGGUGAUGGCGUGCCUUUUGUAGAAUGAACCGGCGAGUUACGAUUUGAUGCAAGGUUAAGCAGUAAAUGUGGAGCCGUAGCGAAAGCGAGUCUGAAUAGGGCGUUUAGUAUUUGGUCGUAGACCCGAAACCAGGUGAUCUACCCUUGGUCAGGUUGAAGUUCAGGUAACACUGAAUGGAGGACCGAACCGACUUACGUUGAAAAGUGAGCGGAUGAACUGAGGGUAGCGGAGAAAUUCCAAUCGAACCUGGAGAUAGCUGGUUCUCUCCGAAAUAGCUUUAGGGCUAGCCUCAAGUGAUGAUUAUUGGAGGUAGAGCACUGUUUGGACGAGGGGCCCCUCUCGGGUUACCGAAUUCAGACAAACUCCGAAUGCCAAUUAAUUUAACUUGGGAGUCAGAACAUGGGUGAUAAGGUCCGUGUUCGAAAGGGAAACAGCCCAGACCACCAGCUAAGGUCCCAAAAUAUAUGUUAAGUGGAAAAGGAUGUGGCGUUGCCCAGACAACUAGGAUGUUGGCUUAGAAGCAGCCAUCAUUUAAAGAGUGCGUAAUAGCUCACUAGUCGAGUGACACUGCGCCGAAAAUGUACCGGGGCUAAACAUAUUACCGAAGCUGUGGAUUGUCCUUUGGACAAUGGUAGGAGAGCGUUCUAAGGGCGUUGAAGCAUGAUCGUAAGGACAUGUGGAGCGCUUAGAAGUGAGAAUGCCGGUGUGAGUAGCGAAAGACGGGUGAGAAUCCCGUCCACCGAUUGACUAAGGUUUCCAGAGGAAGGCUCGUCCGCUCUGGGUUAGUCGGGUCCUAAGCUGAGGCCGACAGGCGUAGGCGAUGGAUAACAGGUUGAUAUUCCUGUACCACCUAUAAUCGUUUUAAUCGAUGGGGGGACGCAGUAGGAUAGGCGAAGCGUGCGAUUGGAUUGCACGUCUAAGCAGUAAGGCUGAGUAUUAGGCAAAUCCGGUACUCGUUAAGGCUGA